GAUGAACGCUGGCGGCGUGCUUAACACAUGCAAGUCGAACGGAAAGGCCCAAGCUUGCUUGGGUACUCGAGUGGCGAACGGGUGAGUAAAACGUGGGUGAUCUGCCCUGCACUUCGGGAUAAGCCUGGGAAACUGGGUCUAAUACCGGAUAGGACGAUGGUUUGGAUGCCAUUGUGGAAAGUUUUUUCGGUGUGGGAUGAGCUCGCGGCCUAUCAGCUUGUUGGUGGGGUAAUGGCCUACCAAGGCGUCGACGGGUAGCCGGCCUGAGAGGGUGUACGGCCACAUUGGGACUGAGAUACGGCCCAGACUCCUACGGGAGGCAGCAGUGGGGAAUAUUGCACAAUGGGCGCAAGCCUGAUGCAGCGACGCCGCGUGGGGGAUGACGGCCUUCGGGUUGUAAACUCCUUUCGCUAGGGACGAAGCGUUUUUGUGACGGUACCUGGAGAAGAAGCACCGGCUAACUACGUG
Molecule: ribosomal RNA, 468 nt
Filed under: uncultured bacterium
Lineage: Bacteria
Description: partial 16S ribosomal RNA
Rfam family: Bacterial small subunit ribosomal RNA
Source: RNAcentral